GUGCUCGAUUAGGCUGCACAUGUACUAAAAUUGGAAUGAACCAGAGAAGAUUAGCGUGGACCACGGCAAGGGUGACACGCAAAUUUGUAAAGUAUUCUAUAUUUAA
This is a small nuclear RNA of Cavia aperea (Brazilian guinea pig), 106 nucleotides long. NCBI's taxonomy places the organism in Eukaryota, Metazoa, Chordata, Mammalia, Rodentia, Caviidae. The record is from Ensembl.